RNAcentral lists this ribosomal RNA (346 nucleotides) under uncultured bacterium. Its description in RNAcentral is "partial 16S ribosomal RNA". It matches the Rfam family "Bacterial small subunit ribosomal RNA", at positions 338 to 701 of the family's 1533-position model. The record is from RNAcentral.
CCUACGGGAGGCAGCAGUGGGGAAUAUUGCACAAUGGGGGAAACCCUGAUGCAGCGACGCCGCGUGAGUGAAGAAGGAUCUCGGGAUGUAAAGCUCCAUCAGUAGGGAAGAAAAGGACGGUACCUGAGUAAGAAGCCACGGCUAACUCCGAGCCAGCAGCCGCGGUAAUACGUAGGGGGCAAGCGUUAUCCGGAUUUACUGGGUGUAAAGGGAGCGUAGACGGCUGCACAAGUCCGGAGUGAAAUGCCGCGGCUUAACCCCGAAACUGCUGGGGAAACUGUGCAUCUAGAGUGCAGGAGAGGUAAGUGGAAUUCCUCGUGUAGCGGUGAAAUGCUUAGAUAUUAGG